RNAcentral lists this ribosomal RNA (63 nucleotides) under Penicillium expansum. RNAcentral describes it as "partial 28S ribosomal RNA". It matches the Rfam family "Eukaryotic large subunit ribosomal RNA", at positions 1 to 58 of the family's 3401-position model. Lineage: Eukaryota; Fungi; Ascomycota; Eurotiomycetes; Eurotiales; Aspergillaceae. The record is from RNAcentral. RNAcentral also lists the same sequence under 1 other name.
CAGGUUGACCUCGGAUCAGGUAGGGAUACCCGCUGAACUUAAGCAUAUCAAUAAGCGGAGGAA